CAGCCGCCGCGGUAAUACGGAGGGUGCAAGCGUUAAUCGGAAUUACUGGGCGUAAAGCGCACGCAGGCGGUCUGUUAAGUCAGAUGUGAAAUCCCCGGGCUCAACCCGGGAACUGCAUUUGAAACUGGCAGGCUUGAGUCUUGUAGAGGGGGGUAGAAUUCCAGGUGUAGCGGUGAAAUGCGUAGAGAUCUGGAGGAAUACCGGUGGCGAAGGCGGCCCCCUGGACAAAGACUGACGCUCAGGUGCGAAAGCGUGGGGAGCAAACAGGAUUAGAGACCCGUGUAGUCCCUGUCUCUUAUAC
RNAcentral lists this ribosomal RNA (301 nucleotides) under uncultured bacterium. RNAcentral's name for it is "partial 16S ribosomal RNA". It matches the Rfam family "Bacterial small subunit ribosomal RNA", at positions 509 to 807 of the family's 1533-position model. The record is from RNAcentral.